This 450-nucleotide ribosomal RNA is filed under the name uncultured Thiobacillus sp. RNAcentral's name for it is "bacterial SSU rRNA". It matches the Rfam family "Bacterial small subunit ribosomal RNA", at positions 925 to 1382 of the family's 1533-position model. The record is from RNAcentral. Lineage: Bacteria; Pseudomonadati; Pseudomonadota; Betaproteobacteria; Nitrosomonadales; Thiobacillaceae.
ACAAGCGUGGAUGAUGUGGAUUAAUUCGAUGCAACGCGAAAACCUUACCACCUUUGACAUGUACGGAAUCCUUUAGAGAUAGAGGAGUGCUCGAAAGAGAGCCGUAACACAGGUGCUGCAUGGCUGUCGUCAGCUCGUGUCGUGAGAUGUUGGGUUAAGUCCCGCAACGAGCGCAACCCUUGUCAUUAGUUGCUACGAAAGGGCACUCUAAUGAGACUGCCGGUGACAAACCGGAGGAAGGUGGGGAUGACGUCAAGUCCUCAUGGCCCUUAUGGGUAGGGCUUCACACGUCAUACAAUGGUCGGUACAGAGGGUUGCCAAGCCGCGAGGCGGAGCCAAUCCCACAAAGCCGAUCGUAGUCCGGAUUGUUCUCUGCAACUCGAGAGCAUGAAGUCGGAAUCGCUAGUAAUCGCAGGUCAGCAUACUGCGGUGAAUACGUUCCCGGGUCUU